This 734-nucleotide ribosomal RNA is filed under the name Pantoea dispersa. RNAcentral's name for it is "bacterial SSU rRNA". It matches the Rfam family "Bacterial small subunit ribosomal RNA", at positions 61 to 783 of the family's 1533-position model. The record is from RNAcentral. Lineage: Bacteria; Pseudomonadati; Pseudomonadota; Gammaproteobacteria; Enterobacterales; Erwiniaceae.
GUCGAACGGCAGCACACAAGAGCUUGCUCUUUGGGUGGCGAGUGGCGGACGGGUGAGUAAUGUCUGGGAAACUGCCCGAUGGAGGGGGAUAACUACUGGAAACGGUAGCUAAUACCGCAUAACGUCCCUGGACCAAAGGGGGGGACCUUCUGGCCUCCCUCCAUCCGAUGUGCCCAGAUGGGAUUAGCUAGUACGUGGGGUAAUGGCUCACCUACGCUACGAUCCCUAGCUGGUCUGAGAGGAUGACCAGCCACACUGGAACUGAUACACGGUCCAGACUCCUACAGGAGGCUGCAGUGGGGAAUAUUGAACAAUGGGCGCAAGCCUGAUGCAUCCAUGCCGCGUGUAUGAAGAAGGCCUUCGGGUUGUAAAGUACUUUCACCGGGGAGGAAGGAGGUGAGGUUAAUAACCUCGCCGAUUGACGUUACCCGCAGAAAAAGCACCGGCUAACUCCGUGCUCCCAGCCCCGGUAAUACAGAGGGUGCAAGCGUUAAUCCGAAUUUCUGGGGGUAAAGCUCACGCACGCCGUCUGUUAAGUCAGAUGUGAAAUCCCCGGGCUUAACCUGAAAACUGCAUUUGAAACUGGCAGGCUUGAAUCUCGUAGAGGGGGGUAGAAUUCUCGGUGUAGCGGUGAAAUGCGAUAUAGAUCUGGAGGAAUACCGGUGGCGAAAGCGGCCCCCUGGACAAAAACUGACGCUCUGGUGCUAAAGCAUGGGGAGCCAACGGGAUUACAU